This is a long non-coding RNA of Monomorium pharaonis (pharaoh ant), 1447 nucleotides long. RefSeq lists it as uncharacterized. The record is from RefSeq and is a predicted model, not a curated record. The transcript has 2 exons. Lineage: Eukaryota; Metazoa; Arthropoda; Insecta; Hymenoptera; Formicidae.
UACAUCUCAAGGGUGCCAACUAAUGAUAUCAAUUUGAGCUCGAUUAGUGCGGGGGCAGAUUUCACCUGCUUAUUCCGCUAUGCCCUUUCUGGAAUUUAAAAGUGUUUAUUGAUCUAAUUAAUUAAGGCAAGAUUAAUCAGUGAUUUAACCAAUAAAGGAAAUAAAAGUCAAUUAUCUGUUCAAGUAAGGCAAGAUGUGAUGGAGAUCUAGUCAGUAAAAGCAAGAUAUGAUCGAGAUCCACCCAGUGAAGGCAAGAUGUGACUGAGAUCUAGCCAGUGAAAACAAAAUAUGAUCGAGAUCUAGCCAGUGAAGGCAAGAUAUGACCGAGAUCUAGCUAGUGAAGGCAAGAUGUGAUCGAAAUCUAUCCAAUGAAGGCAAGAUUUCAUAAUUUCUUUUUAUAAUCCAUGAGUAUAAAUUCUAUAAUAAUUGAUAUUAUUUUUUAUAUUUAUGGCAAUAGUGAAGAAAAAUUUCAUCUUCUAUUGCAAAAAAAUGUUCCAUACACAGAAUUACAUCACGCGUAUUUCAUUACUGCAAUGUUAUUGCAGAUUUUGCAGACUGUGCCGCAAUUCUUUAAACAGUAAUUAACAAGUGUUUUACAUCUAACUGGUUUUUUUCGAUAUAUCCACUUUUUCACCAGACGUAUUUAAUCAUGUUUUUGAAUUGGGAAAGUUUUUCCACGAUCUGAAUACGUAGACAUCCAAUGGUUGAGAACAACGGAGCCAGUUGUUCUGACAGGAAUUGUAAAGAUUUUUAUUUCCUUACCACCCUUGUCUGUAUUUUCAAAAUUUUUUUCUGUUUGUCCUGACCAAGAGUUCAAAUACAAAACAGAUUUCUCGCCAGCAUUAGGCAAGAAGACACCUUUAAACCAUUUAAUAGUAAGGAUCUCAACUUUUCAGGUUUUGUGGCGAAAGCGAGAAUAUCCGCUUUGUACAUAAACUUCUGUGCUAUUGGUCCGAAAUAGCCACUUGUUUCUUAUAAAAUUAUUAAAAAAACAGAUAUACUCCGAAUAAUAUAGUUAUUAAGUUUAUGCUCCGUUUAUAUAUGUGUAUUAGACCUUAUACGCAUCGCAUUAUUUAUAAAAAUAAUGGAUAAUCAAUAAAAUAAACAUGUGAAUAUUACAGAUAAAGAAUAAAACCAAUAUAACUUUGUUUUGUUGUUUUAAUUAAAUCUGAGUCUCGAUCUUUAAUUAGAUAUAGACUUUAAAAUUGUCUUAAAGACCUUCAUAUACAUUAUAAAAAGAAAUAAGAUAUCUGGUACUACAAAAUGAGUGAAAUUCCAACAAAAUUACCUUUUUUAAAAAAGGUAUAAAAAAGCACCAAGUAUACGCGCAUAUGAAACGCCCUGAAAAAUCUAUUUUUGAACAAAAUAAUUUUUAUUUGGCAUUACAAAUGUGCAUUACAAAGGAAAUUUUAAUAAAAUUGUCUUUUCCUUAAAAAAAAACAAAAAA